CAUUUUUCUUUUCUUUUUCCCAUUUCCUUUUCCUUCCGCGAGCCAACCCUUGCCCCAAAAAUCUUGCGGCGACUUCUCCCGAGCCCUAACCGGCGCCGAGCUCCUUCUCCCUCUCACUCUCAUGGCGAGGAGCGCCUCUCCCCUCUACUGAUCUCCUCUCCCCCUCAUCCAUGCUGAGCCGCGCGCCGAUCACCGACCACAAGAAUCCAGUGCCGUCGCCGUGCCCUAGCGCCUGCCGACGCCCUCUUCCUCUCCUCUGGCCGACGCGACACUACUGCCCUUCUUCUCUACCUAGCGCCGGCCGCCGCCGCCCUGAGCCCUAGACCUGUCUCUGCCGUAGAGAUCAGAACCGUGCCGACGCCACCUUCUUCUUCCCUUGCCCUCUCUGCCCCAACGUCUCUGUUUGGGUUGUUUCCGGCCAAGAGCAAGGAGGAUUUAAAUCCGAUGUUUCUUCCUCGUGCCUAGCUUGUAUUCCUUCUCAGUCGCCACUCAUCUGCUCGAUCACAUCAGCGACUUCUUGCUUGAUCCGGUUGAUAUCAGUGUGGUUCAGUGAGCAGGAAUUGUGUACGGUGGGGAGUUCAUGGUUUUGGUAGCAAACCAUACAACAAUUCCUUAUUCCAGCAGCAGUAGACACACCGGUGAUUUCCAGCCGUGGUUUACACUCUGAUCACGAGGCAUCAGUGAUUAUCAUCAGAUUUGGACUUUGAUUUGAGACUGUGUCUCGGCAAGGGAUCUAUUUCGGAUUGGACCUUUCUAUUGG
Molecule: long non-coding RNA, 760 nt
Organism: Zingiber officinale
Lineage: Eukaryota; Viridiplantae; Streptophyta; Magnoliopsida; Zingiberales; Zingiberaceae
Exons: 3
Source: RefSeq, a predicted model, not a curated record